CUACGAGACGCUCCAGUGGGGAAUAUUGCACAAUGGGCGCAAGCCUGAUGCAGCCAUGCCGCGUGUAUGAAGAAGGCCUUCGGGUUGUAAAGUACUUUCAGCGGGGAGGAAGGGAGUAAAGUUAAUACCUUUGCUCAUUGACGUUACCCGCAGAAGAAGCACCGGCUAACUCCGUGCCAGCAGCCGCGGUAAUACGGAGGGUGCAAGCGUUAAUCGGAAUUACUGGGCGUAAAGCGCACGCAGGCGGUUUGUUAAGUCAGAUGUGAAAUCCCCGGGCUCAACCUGGGAACUGCAUCUGAUACUGGCAAGCUUGAGUCUCGUGGAGGGGGGUAGAAUUCCAGGUGUAGCGGUGAAAUGCGUAGAGAUCUGGAGGAAUACCGGUGGCGAAGGCGGCCCCCUGGACGAAGACUGACGCUCAGGUGCGAAAGCGUGGGGAGCAAACAGGAUUAGAUACCCCCGUAGUC
Molecule: ribosomal RNA, 464 nt
Filed under: uncultured bacterium
Lineage: Bacteria
Description: partial 16S ribosomal RNA
Rfam family: Bacterial small subunit ribosomal RNA
Source: RNAcentral